UACAGAGGUCUCAAGCGUUGUUCGGAUUCAUUGGGCGUAAAGGGUGCGUAGGUGGCGCUGUAAGUCAGGUGUGAAAUUUCGGAGCUUAACUCCGAAACUGCAUUUGAUACUGCGGUGCUCGAGGACUGGAGAGGAGACUGGAAUUUACGGUGUAGCGGUGAAAUGCGUAGAGAUCGUAAGGAAGACCAGUGGCGAAGGCGGGUCUCUGGACAGUUCCUGACACUGAGGCACGAAGGCCAGGGGAGCAAACGGG
RNAcentral lists this ribosomal RNA (253 nucleotides) under uncultured bacterium. RNAcentral describes it as "partial 16S ribosomal RNA". It matches the Rfam family "Bacterial small subunit ribosomal RNA", at positions 524 to 776 of the family's 1533-position model. The record is from RNAcentral.